UAAAAUACGUGUCUUGUCCUAGCAUUGAAAAGUCAUCUCAGUGCCUUUAGGGCUACGGAAUAAUUUUUAUUUUGCCUUUUGUAUAAAGCGAGUGCACGAAGUCUCUAAUAAUAAAAAAUAACGGGCGCACAUAUCGACCAAUCAGGAUUAGCCAUACUCUUAAUUCUGAAUACCAUGUUAUGCUCAUAAAAUGGCUGCGCCCAUAAAAUCUAAUGGUGUAUUGUAACCUAUA
RNAcentral lists this long non-coding RNA (232 nucleotides) under Mytilus galloprovincialis (Mediterranean mussel). Lineage: Eukaryota; Metazoa; Mollusca; Bivalvia; Mytilida; Mytilidae. The record is from RNAcentral.